This 279-nucleotide ribosomal RNA is filed under the name Clostridioides difficile. Its description in RNAcentral is "partial 23S ribosomal RNA". It matches the Rfam family "Bacterial large subunit ribosomal RNA", at positions 2318 to 2596 of the family's 2925-position model. The record is from RNAcentral. Lineage: Bacteria; Bacillati; Bacillota; Clostridia; Peptostreptococcales; Peptostreptococcaceae.
UCUCGCAGUACGGUCGGAAAUCGUACGUAGAGUGUAAAGGCAAAAGGGAGCUUGUGUGCGAGAGAUGCAGGUGGAGCAAGAAUGAAAUUCGGAGUGAGUGUUCCGGGGGUCGUGGGUGGAAGGGCCAUCGAUGAACGGAUAAAAGCUACCCGGGGGAUAACAGGCUGAUCUCCCCCAAGAGUCCACGUCGACGGGGAGGUUUGGCACCUCGAUGUCGGCUCAUCACAUCCGGGGGCUGUAGUAGGUCCCAAGGGUUGGGCUGUUCGCCCAUUAAAGUGG